UACGUAGGGUGCAAGCGUUAAUCGGAAUUACUGGGCGUAAAGGGUGCGCAGGCGGUUAUAUAAGACAGAUGUGAAAUCCCCGGGCUCAACCUUGGAACUGCGUUUGUGACUGUAUGACUAGAGUACGGUAGAGAGGGGUGGAAUUCCUGGUGUAGCAGUGAAAUGCGUAGAUAUCAGGAGGAACAUCGAUGGCGAAGGCAGCCCCUUGGACCUGUACUGACGCUCAUGCACGAAAGCGUGGGGAGCAAACAGG
This 253-nucleotide ribosomal RNA is filed under the name uncultured bacterium. Its description in RNAcentral is "partial 16S ribosomal RNA". It matches the Rfam family "Bacterial small subunit ribosomal RNA", at positions 524 to 776 of the family's 1533-position model. The record is from RNAcentral.